RNAcentral lists this unclassified non-coding RNA (207 nucleotides) under Hevea brasiliensis (rubber tree). Lineage: Eukaryota; Viridiplantae; Streptophyta; Magnoliopsida; Malpighiales; Euphorbiaceae. The record is from RNAcentral.
GUCACAAUCUCAUGGAUGAAUUUAGGAGGAAAAAAGAAUUUGUUAAAUCUUCAACAUUUAGAAGCACUAAUUGUCUAACACAGCAUGGUCAUCCUUGCAGAAAGUGUGUCUCUUGUAAUUUCCAAUCCACUGAUUAUCAAUUCAACAAAAACUCCAACGUAUAACAAAUUCAUCUUCCAUUCACAUUUUCUUCUAUAUUCUUCUCAG